RNAcentral lists this ribosomal RNA (292 nucleotides) under uncultured bacterium. Its description in RNAcentral is "partial 16S ribosomal RNA". It matches the Rfam family "Bacterial small subunit ribosomal RNA", at positions 505 to 796 of the family's 1533-position model. The record is from RNAcentral.
GUGUCAGCAGCCGCGGUAAUACGGAGGAUCCAAGCGUUGUCCGGAUUUAUUGGGUUUAAAGGGUGCGUAGGCGGAUAAUUAAGUCAGUGGUGAAAUCUUGCGGCUCAACCGUAAAAUUGCCAUUGAAACUGAUUAUCUUGAGUACAGUUGAGGUGGGCGGAAUGUAUCAUGUAGCGGUGAAAUGCUUAGAUAUGAUACAGAACACCUAUUGCGAAAGCAGCUCACUAAACUGCAACUGACGCUGAGGCACGAAAGCGUGGGGAUCAAACAGGAUUAGAAACCCCGGUAGUCC